GGAUGUGUGAAACUUCAAAUGUGUAAAUUCACGAACGUGUGAACCGUACUUGUGACAUGGAACACCCUAGUUAAGCCAAAGAAUUAUUAAGAGGAAAACUGAAAUAAAGCGCUUGCAUUUGUGCAGUGAUUUGUUCAGUGCAAUAAUUGUUUCAUGGCGUGUUAUCCAUAUGACUUCUUGUAAGGCGUUUGGUCUUCUCAAGGUUUGUGACUAUCUGGUCAUAACUCAGAAAUCUUGAUGUUUUGAGAGCUUAGCUGGAACAACUUUUCCCCCAUCACACAUAAAUACCCAGCUUCAAUCUACAUUCUUUUGAGAUAACUUUCAUGUGUGCUUUAAUUUAUUUAAAAAACGAAACAACAGAGUUUUUCUGAUUAGUUAGAUAGAAAGGUGUCUUAAGCUAGUCUGUCAGUACUUUUGCUACAGAAGUAAUCAUCUUCACUCUGUUGUUUCAGAAGACUGUUUUGUCUUUUUUGGUUCUAAGCAGGGAAAGGAAAAUGGUUUACAGUACAUUAUUGAGAUAUGUUUUGUGUGUAGUUUUGGUAACAAUAUGUGGAAGGGUCUGAAGAACACGAGGUGUGUCUGAACAGUAACACCACCAAAGUGUGUUGACAUCAACAACGAUGUUUCUUCUUGCAGGCUAAGACGAGAAAGUGACUAAGACAAAACAGAUGAAUAAUCUAGGAGAGUUUAUCUGGUGCUAUUGCUGUCAUAUCAAUAUCCCUUUAACUGAACCGGCCUGGGUUGUCAAAAAGAGUUGGGAGGAGGGAUGCAAAGUAGUAAGUUAAAACCUUGAUGCUGAAUAGGGAGGUUUGGGGCUUCUGUGAGUUUGUUUGGCUUGUUUUUUGCAAUUUUUUUUUUUUUUUUUUUAGGACUAGUUCUGCAAGUUCAACAGGCUGCUUUCCUGGGAUUCUAAGUAGUGACAAUAUUAUUUCUUGUGUGAGUCACUGCAUGACCUCUGAUAGGAGAAUAUUUUCUGUCUGGGUACAAACACACACACAAAAGUAUCGUAAAGAACUGGUCUAUCAAAAAGGUUUUCAAAGAGAAACUGAUGGUAUCAGUUUUCUAACUGAAAUAAUCACUUUAAUACCCACAUGGCUGUUUUUCCCAUUGACAAUAAUAGAUAUCCUCUAGAACUGGCUGCACAAUAUUAUGCACUCAGAUAAAUACAUGUUUUUUAAUGUAGCCAAGGUUUGCUGUGGCCAUCAACUUGUCUUUGCUGUGGGCAUCAAUUUGUCUCUUUUUUCUUUCCAUUUCAAGAAAAUUAUUUAUUUUCUCUCUAUGCCUGCUGGUUCAUGGAGAGGGCUGAGUGUGUGGAACUAGCAUCCUGAAGAAUGUGCUUCGUGGAGAUUAGAUAAUGUUUGGUAGGAGGCAUUCCUUUUUCUAAGGGCAUACUGCCAUGUACAAAAUCAAGUCCUAAGGUUUUUGUGUGUUUUAGGAAUUAUAUUCCCCACUUUAGUGUUCUUACUCACUCACUCACUCACUCGGCCCUCCCCCCACCUGUCUCCCUGCAUAAUCUUGGAUAAGAGAAUCAGAGGUGCAAAAGGCAAAGAUCGCAGGUUCAGACAAGGACAGUUUACUGGAAACAGCAAAUGAAAUAAGAAAACAAACAGUAACAGCAAUAGUGUAGAAGGAAUAAUUCACACACAAGCUUUUGCUGUGUGGGACCCCUGGCAGUACCAGACCACACCAUGCUAUGUGACCUGGAAGGGACCCCUCCCCCAUUCCUGGAAAAUUGUGGGGUUAUAUAGAAUAACCUUAAUGUCCUAGCCUGGAAAAACUAACUGUGGCUUGGCCAGAACCAGAACAGGGAUAUGCAGGAGUCAUUAUAAUGAUGACUAGCCCUAUAUCUUCUGUUUGUGAAGUUUUAAAGAAGUUAGAGUAGCAAAGAUUAAGUAGUGAUUAAUGUCAUUGUUUAGAUAUGGACUAUGCUGAAUGAUGACAUUUUUGAUAGUUUUGCAUCUCUGUCUUUUGUAGUCCUGGAUGAUCAGAUGUGUCAUGGAUGUUCAAUGUGUGAUGAGGAAAAAGAAGAAACCAGAAAUUCUAUCACAGGGACUGAUACAGGAAUGGGUACUCCUUUCUGCCUCUCAUUACCUCAGUAAAUCAAAGCUACUCCAAGAGAGUGGAUCUCCUGUAAAUCACUGUUAAAUAUAUGGGAGGUUUUAUAUUUGGCCUGUCUACUGUUGUACACUGUCCAAUGCAAUACUGUCUUGAAAGGCUGCAAAAUGAUUAUCAGCUGAAAAUUUGGAUCCUGCUGCAAUUAUGGACUGCAUUAGCAAUGUUGAGUGUUUACUACAACAGCUUCAGGUUGUAAAGUGGGUGGAGUUAAGGUAGUUAAUUAUGGUGUUAUUGCUAUUUCUCUCAGUGAAGCAGUAUCUGCAGGGGAAAUUGAUCUAAUAGUAUUUUGACUUUUCUCUGCUGGUAGUCAUUACCCAGUUGGUUUUUGGCUUUUUGAAAUGCUGUUUGUCUGACACUGACCGUGUCAUCCAUUUUGUAAUCUUAGAGGCCACAGAUCUGAUUACUUGAGUACUUGCUAGAAGAUCCAUCUGUCUUUCCUCUAAUGAUUGGUCUUUACUACAGCAUUGCUCUUAAGGCUUGUUGAGGUGAAACAUCCUUGCAACAAAGUGCACUGCCUCUCUACUGUAUUUGGGAAACAGCCUACAACAGUGCUGGAAGAGUUUGCACUUUAGGAUGACCUGAAGAAGGAAUAGCCAGGACAGGAAAAUAAAUGCUAAGCUUCAUGAUGGAGUUUGUCAGCAUUGCAAAGAUAUCUUGGAGUGGCGAGUGAAAUUCAGAAAGUAUAAACUACUGACAAAACCUAAAAAAUGGAGACACAGAGGAGGAGCAACUGCUUCCCUCUUUGCUGUUAAAACUGGUUGAACUGUGGACCUGUAAGUUUCCAAGCCCGUCAGUGUUUCCUCCUGAACAAAACCUGAAACCUGAACCUGUUGAAACACCAAUUUCUAAGUGUGAAGUGCCUGCAGAAGACUGUAAAAGAUCCUUAUCAUAUUAUUUGUCGACCAUGUGCUGGUAAACUAGAAAUUUGUGCUAAGUGCGGGAAACAAGAAGAAAUAGUAAUUCCGAUUGAUAAAGGACAAGACAGAAC
This is an RNA transcript of Cinclus cinclus, 3103 nucleotides long. It is a transcript of the gene named chromosome Z C9orf85 homolog, with no coding region annotated. NCBI's taxonomy places the organism in Eukaryota, Metazoa, Chordata, Aves, Passeriformes, Cinclidae. The transcript is spliced from 5 exons. The record is from RefSeq and is a predicted model, not a curated record.